RNAcentral lists this long non-coding RNA (364 nucleotides) under Androctonus crassicauda. The record is from RNAcentral. Lineage: Eukaryota; Metazoa; Arthropoda; Arachnida; Scorpiones; Buthidae.
UAUACACACACUCACAGUCUUUAGUCCUAAAACCACAGUCUUUAGUCCUUAAAUUGACUAAGAAAGAUAGCACACAAGAUAAUCAAGUUCGGGCCUUGACGAUGAAGAGCCUCGGAACUAAGGUUAGAGUACGAUGAUCAGCCGGACAAAGCUGGGACUUCACUUUCACAAAAUGAAGUUAGACAAAAUCCGACGUCACAAAGGGUCCGACCCCUUUUAUAUCUCUAUUUCCCCCCUUUCUUUUAACAAACAAUCUUUUCGUUUUUCCCUUCUUUAUUGCCCUCUUCACUUCUUCCCACUUACCACCUGCAAGUCAUUUGACUUGUUUUCCGAAUGUUUUGUUUAUUUCACUUAAAGGGGAAAG